This is a non-coding RNA of Acipenser ruthenus (sterlet), 1400 nucleotides long. Lineage: Eukaryota; Metazoa; Chordata; Actinopteri; Acipenseriformes; Acipenseridae. The record is from the annotation of a RefSeq genome assembly.
AUGCACCAGGUGCAGCUCCAGAAGUGGUACCCCAGUGCUAUGGGAUCUUAUGAGCCGUUCUUUGGUAGAGGAACGAAACUGACAGUUCUAGAAAAAGACCCAGUUCCCCCUAAACUUCACAUCCUCGAGCCGUCGAAGGAAGAGAUUGUGCAGAAGAAGCGGGUGACCCUGGUGUGUCUGGCCACUAAUUUCUACCCGGAUCACAUUGAAAUCACCUGGAAGAUCAAUGGCAAGAACAGAGAGGAUGGGGUUAAAACAGAUGAUUAUGCUACCAAGGACACCAACACAUCCAGCAUCAGCAGCCGGCUAAGACUGACCCUGAAAGAAUGGUUUAACCCCAAGAACACCUUCACCUGUGCUGUGAAGUUCUACAAUGAAACUGACGUACCAAUAUUUUUUGAAGAAAAGAUUCAUGGAGUAGAGGGAUGUCUCACUUCAGACUCCAUGCACAAGGACUUGGGAGCGGCCCGAUUGACCUACCUCCUCAUGGUGUGUAAGAGCGUCCUGUACGGUCUGCUAGUGACGGCGCUGGUGUGGAAGCUGAAGCCUACAGGUGAGAAGUGCUUCAACUAAACAGGGUGCAGAAUGUGGAAACUUCACAGGAAAGCCUGAUAACAGAAAUGCAAUGUGUUCUUUAUUGCUGUAUUGCUUUUGCAAAGAAAAUUGUGAAAUACUGUGUUUAGAAAUAUUUCUUUUUAAAUAACAGUUGAUGGAGGACUUAGAUGCCGCUGUGUGCAAAUUAAAAUGUUUAAAACGAGUGCAAGUCUGACUUAGAUCAAAUAUUAUAGGAGUAUGGACAUCUCAGAGUAGCUCUAGGUGGACUGUAAUACACAACACAACACUGCCACACACAUGCAGAGACAUUAGCACUGGGCACCUGGACUGAAACACACAACACCACACAACACAACACAACACAACACUGCCACACACAUGCAGAGACAUUAGCACUGGGCACCUGGACUGAAACACACAACACCACACAACACAACACAACACAACACUGCCACACACAUGCAGAGACAUUAGCAGUGGACAUGUUUUGAAUGGAAGUAGCACUUCCUCCAAUGCAGGCCAGUUUUACUGCAGUUAUUGACAUUCCUGAUCUGCGGGUAAAGAGAGAACACCGACCAGGAGCUCCAAACUACUCAUCUGAUUGUACUGUUGCUGUUUUAUGGGGUGCCAUAUGUAAAAAAAAAUGUAUUUUUUCCCAGAUUUAACUUAAAUCUUGUAUUUUUCCCCAGAUUUCUAAAUGUUGUGAAAAUAAAUAAAUGUUUUAAAUGUGUAUAUUCAGAUAUAAUUUAUGAAUCUAGUUACAAGUUUUAACAUUUAGCUAAAUAUUUAACUGGCCAGCUAAAUCUGGAGUUUGUAUGCAAAUGAGCUCAGUCUGCUUUGUGCUU